CUAUCAUAGUCAUAACAUUACAAUACAUCACAGUAUUAAACUCACAACCCAAAUCAUUUACACAAGCUUCUAUUGUUUCCUUGAAUUUUGUCGUACCAAACCUGUUUCGCAAAACAGGGCGAUUCGAGCUGCCUUCCAUCGCAACUUCAGGCCUAUAUGCCCGAAUCCUCAGGGAAUUACGAGUAAAAACUUCGGCUAGGCGCACCCACCGAGCACUAUACUCACACGAGUCGAAGUCAUUGGGCGAGACAGCCAACCCUCUCUAAUCCUCGCGCACGAGAAUAAGGUGACACUCGAAUCUCAGUCUCCGCAGAGAACUCAACACACUAUCCUAUCACAAUACGAACAUCAUCGGUUCGACAAAAAUUCUAAGGUGGAACCACAACCACAAAAGAAAAGGGUGAGU
This 406-nucleotide long non-coding RNA is filed under the name Vigna radiata. Its description in RNAcentral is "long non-coding RNA (VRAD_LNC015107)". Lineage: Eukaryota; Viridiplantae; Streptophyta; Magnoliopsida; Fabales; Fabaceae. The record is from RNAcentral.